CGUGAGUGAUGAAGGCUUUCGAGUCGUAAAGCUCUGUGAGGUGGAAAGAAAUGUUCCAGUACUAAUAUUACUGGGAUUUGACGGUACCACCAGAGGAAGCACCGGCUAACUCCGUGCCAGCAGCCGCGGUAAUACGGAGGGUGCAAGCGUUGUUCGGAAUUACUGGGCGUAAAGGGCGUGUAGGCGGUUUGGCAAGUCAGAUGUGAAAUCCCUUAGCUCAACUAAGGAAGUGCAUUUGAAACUGUUUAACUAGAGUACAGGAGGGGAAAGUGGAAUUCCCAGUGUAGAGGUGAAAUUCAUAGAUAUUGGGAGGAACACCGGUGGCGAAGGCGGCUUUCUGGCCUGAUACUGACGCUGAGACGCGAAAGCGUGGGGAGCAAACAGGAUUAGAUACCCUGGUAGUCCACGCCGUAAACGAUGGGCACUAGGUGUAGGAAGUGUUGACCCUUUCUGUGCCGAAGCUAACGCAUUAA
Molecule: ribosomal RNA, 473 nt
Filed under: uncultured delta proteobacterium
Lineage: Bacteria; Deltaproteobacteria
Description: bacterial SSU rRNA
Rfam family: Bacterial small subunit ribosomal RNA
Source: RNAcentral